AACAUUUGCAACUCGAAGGUUAAUAUUAGAUAAUACUCUUACCAGUUUUGAGAUGUUUCAUGGACUCUAUCAACGUCAACUAAUCUUGUAAAAAUUAAUUACAUGAACUGACUAUCUUCUUGAGUUUCCAGUUUCCAUGCGUUUAUUUGUAAAUUGACUAAUCUUUUUUUUGUAGUUUUAGAAGAAUAGAAGAUGCUCUUCUGACUUUUCGAUUCUUGUCUAAGAAGAAGUCUUUUCUAUUAUAUCUACGGUUUGGUCCAAAUCCUUCGUAGUUUUAAUAUAUCUUAUAUAAUAUAACAAGGUUUUUUCUAACUUUUCUCCACGUUACGACAUUUGGCGCUCUAUGUUGAUAACAUGUGUCAUCUUUUAUUUUUAAUUAAUUCUUUUCAUUUUUAUUUUUAACUAAAACAUUUAUAGCAAUUUUAAUUCCAAAUAACCAUAUAAUUAGGUAAAAAUUAAAAUAAAAUUAUUAUGAAAAAAUUAUUAUGAGUAAAAUUAUUAAUUGGGAUCCAAAAUUCAUUUCUGUAAAGCAAAAGAUAUAACUAAAGUUUUAUAACCAAAUCACAUAUUGCAUAUGAUAUAUCACAUAUAUAUGUAUAUAUGAUUUACUAUCACAUAAUUAAAACAUCUAUUUUACAUAAUUUUCUUACAUUUUAUUUAAAUUUUCAUCCAUCAUAUUUAUUUUAUUAUAAAAUACUCUUUUCUUUUUUCACUUUAAUGAUGGAAGAAACUUAAAUAAAAUGUAUGCAAAUUGAGUAAAGUAGAUGUUUUAAUUAUUUGAUAGUAAAUCAACAAUUGUGGGAGUUAAUUCUUAUUAAUUUUGUGUUGAAUCAAAUUGAGUAGAGAAAUAUAGUUAAUGCAAAUUUUUAUAAUUUCAGUUCUUAUAUUAAAGUGUGAGUUAAAUCUAGAGAUCUAAUUAAUUGUGUUUUAAUUGAAUAUAUAUUUUUCAGUUUUAAAAUUAAAGUGAGAGAUAAAUAUAUAUGAUCAAUUUUGUUUUUUUUUUUUCAACGAAAAACUUUAUUGAUUAAGAAUUAAUAAUGUCAGCAUACAAUUGAUUCUGCAACCAUCGAGGUCGACAAACACCCGUACAUAAGAAAUUGCUAUCUAGAACACCAAACUUAGCAAGGAGAUGGCCAGCUUCAUUACAACUACGCUUAGCAAAGACAAAAUUUAUAUCAAAAAAAGAAAUAGUCCAUUGUAAGAUAUCUCGGCAGAUCCCUGCAAUUAAGGCAUUGUGAGUUUUCCCUUGAAGCAUAUCUAUUAAGUCAGAACAGUCACUCUCCAAAAAGACUUGGCGAUAUCCUCGAAUCCAGAUUUGUUGAAUCGCAGCUAGGAACGCCUUUGCUUCUGCUUCAAUAGGUGUGGAUGAGUUUGGAAGAAGAGAAGAUCCCCAACAUCUAGGAUUACAUUCAUUGUCUCGUAAAAUCCAACCACAAGAUGUUCUGUAAGUAUAAGGAUCAAAAGCUGCGUCUACAUUACACUUCAUAAAAGGCAAAUGGGGUCUACUCCAAGUAAUUUUAUGAUACUGAAUUGGGAUAUGAUUAAUAUUAGAUGGGAUCGCUGGAGUUGUAGGUGUGAUCCAUUCGGAAACAUCUGCUUGAGCUUUAAUAAUAGUAUGAUAGAUACUUUGUUGAAUUUGGUUAAAAGUUAGAUCAUUUCUUGAUUUCCAAAUAUGCCAUAAUAGCCAAAAAGGUAAAAGCUUUUGUUAUUGAGAUACUCCUACAGCAAUUUGCAAUUGUAAGAUGUCCGAAAUGUGGUUCUCAGUUGACUUAUUAUCAUUGUAAAGAGAGACUAAGGGAGUGUUUGUUUUAUAUCAGUUGACUUAUGAUCAAUUUUGUUUUAUAUGUGGAUUGUUUCACUAUCUUCUUAUUGGUCUACUUUUCUAUAAAAUAUAUAUUUUUUUUAAAUUAUGUUUUCAACUAAACCAAAAAUAAAACACAUUUAGUUAUAUAUAUAUUAAACUGACACUUUAAUAUAAAACUAAAGAAAAAAAUAUUUUAAUUAAGCCAUAAAUAAAAAACUUUGAUCAUCUAUACUUAUAUUCAAUUAAAACACAAUUAAUUAUAUACAUUUAACUCAAACUUUAAUAUAAAAACUGAAAUAAUAUAAAUUUGCAUUCACUAUACUUUUCUACUCAAUUUUAGUCAACACUCAAUAAAUUAGAAUUAAUUAACUCCCACAAUUUUUUCUUCAAAAUCGGAACUCUCAUCACUUCUCAUCUUAUAAAUACUCAUUUUCUCAUUCUCUCAUUCCCUCAUCCUCUUCCACUUUACCUCAAAUCUUCUAUAAUUGAGUUUGUUUUGUUUUCUGUUUUUUUUUUGUUGGUUGUUUGUUGUUGUAUGAGUUGAAAAAUAAAUUUAAUUUGCAUUGUAAAAGUUUAAUCUAAAUUUUAAUUUUAUAUGACACUAUUUCAUCUCUAUUGUCUAUUUUAGAUUACCAUCUUUAAUCUCUCUCCUCUCUCGUUCUCUUUCAGUACAUUCAUGUAUCUUAAAUAUUUUUCUAUUUUUGUGUUGUUAUAUGGACUGAAAAUCAAUAAAACUAUCAUUUUAAGAAUUUGAUCUUAAUUUAUUUUAGAAAGUAUGAUAUAUAUCAAAUAUAGUUUCAAUUUUUAUUUCUAAUGCCUAAUUAUGCAUACUUUUUUCAAUUUUUAUUUCUAAUGCCUUAUUAUACAUAUGUUUUCAUACUUAUGAGUAUGAAUGAAGAAAGUAUGAUAUAACACAUAUGUAAAAUAAAGUUUUGAUUGUUAUAUAAAUAAAAUUUGCAAUUUAAACUUUUAACAAAUAACUUCUUCUAUGUUUUUAAAAAUCUCAAAUAAUAUUUUUUAAUUCAUUUCAAUAUAUGUAUAAUUAUAUUUAGUUUGUGAUCCAAUAGAUUAUUAUAAUAUUUAAUUUAUUUAAAAUUUGAGGUCGAACUGUUUAAAAAGAAACCAAAAAGUACUUGGUUUUAAAAAUUGGUCGUUAAUUUUUUUUUAAUCAUACAGUUCAUAAAAGUUAAAUUUAGUUUAAUUCAUUCAUCAAUUGAACAAGGUAUUUUCUAACUUUUCACCACGUUACGACAUUUGGCGCUCUCUGUUGAUGACACGUGUUAUCCUUUAUUUUUAAUUAAUUAUUUUUAUUUUUUUCUAACUAAACAUUUAUGUCAAUCUUAUUUCCAAAUAAUCAUAUAAUUAGGUAACAAUUAAAACAAAAUUAUUAUGAAAAAAAUAUUAUGAGUAAAAUUAUUAAUUGGGAUCCAAAAUUCAUUUGUGUAAAGCAAAAGGUAUAACUAAAGUUUUUUUUCCUAUAAAUAUAACUUGACAUCUACUUCUGAAUCCAAUUUUUAAUACCUAAAGUUCUUUUGCCAAAAAGAAGAAGAUUAUAUAUAAUAAAUUUUCAUAUUGCAUAUGAUAUAAAAUCAUAUAUAUAUAUAUAUAUAUAUAUGUGUAUAUAUGAUUUACUAUCAUAUAAUUAAAACAUCUAUUUUACAUAAUGUUUUACAUUUAUUUAAAUCCUAUUACAUUUUUAUUACAUUUUAUGAAUUAAUGAACUUCACUAAAAUCCUAUUAAAUUAUAAUAUUCAAUAAGGUAUGAGUUAUACAAUAAUAUCAUAUCCACCCUACACUCUACACUAAUAUCAUAUUUAAUCAUUUGUUCUAAAUAAUAGUCUUUCUUUUCAUAACAAUAUAAAUAUCUAACCGAAGUUAGAUUUUCCUAGAGAGACCAAACAUAAAUUCGAUUAUUUAAGAGCAUUUCAUGAUUGUUUUCAUGUACAUAUAAUAGACAGAUAUAUUCGUUCAUCUUCUUUGUUAAUGUUGAUGUAAACAUGUGAUGCCUUUUUAAUAUAAAUUCAUUUCUUUAGCUUUUUUAGUUAUGUAAAUCUUUAUGUUUGUUCUUAAAUGGUUUCAAUAUUAGUUUUAUUCUUGAACAAAUUCUACAUAAAAUAACUCAUAAUAAAUAAAAAAGGAUCUCAUCUACGUAUAUGUGAGCUUCUUUUCUAAUCAAUUAGAAUGAAAAAUAUCAAAGUUCUUUUUUCAAAUAAUCUUCAUCUGUUCAUUUGGCUUUUGCUUUAUCUUUUUAGUGUUUACAUAAUUAUAGUUUUAAAGCUCUUAUAUCUCAGGUGAAAUAUUUUCUAAAUUGAAAAAAAAACUCUAAGUAAGGUCUAAAAAAAUCAUAUUUCUUAGGUGAAAUAUUUUAAAUUGAUAAUUUGCAAAGUUUAAUAUUAACUAAUACUCAUAAAUUAUGUGAGUUUUUCUUUACUUUUAAUAUUAACAAUGUACACACAAAAAAAUUAACAUCAUUUACAAUUGCCUACUAUAUUAUGUAUGUGCUAAUUUGUAGUACUUUGUUUUGAUCUCAUUCGGUUUCAUAUUUUUAAAAUAUAUAUUUUAUUUACUUUUACUGUUUAUAAUGUACACAAAUAUGUUUUAUAUUAACAAUUACUUAUAAACUAUACAUAUCUUAAUGUAAUUUUCAAUUUAUAUUUCAAAUUAAUAUUUCAUAUAUAACCCACGCAUCGCGUGGGCAACUUUCUACUAUAUCAUACAAGAUCGAUAGCUUUGCUCACUAUAAUGUUCACUUAAGAUCGAUAGGUUUGCUCAUUAAGAAAAACAAAUAAGCCAACAUGGAAACUGGGUUACGUACGUACAUUGUGGAUAUAUAUUAAUGAUUAUAAUUCACCCUUAGGUUUUUUUUUUUUAAGAGACGACGAUAUCGAUGUUCGAUUAUAUAUGUAGAGAAGAGAAUGGUUGGGAUCGGAAGAUUCGAGCACGUUGAGUAAUCCAUGCUUUUAAGUGUGAACCUGGGAACUCUCAAGAUUCGAGCCGUACUCCACUACCCAUAUGCAUCAUGAACUACAUUUCACGGAUUCAUAUAGAAGAGCGUGCGUUCUCUAUCAUCUUUAUCUCUAUAACACUUGUUUUCUUUUCGUGUGUAUAGGAUUGAACCACCGUCGUGAAAAAUAUAAAAACCCCCAAUGUAUUCGUAAGAAAAUAUCUGCAACAAGGGCAUUGUUAAGGGCAGGCCAACCUGUCACGAUUCUUUCUUUAUAACAUAAAUUGUAUAAAAUUUCCAAUAUUCCAAUAUAUAGAAGGGUUUCGGAACUUGAUUCAGUAUAUUGAUUUCGUGAUUUUCGUACCUACGUCAGCUUUCCUUGAUAUAUUGAAUACUUGGCCAUACCUAUAUAUUCAUGAUUCAAAAGUGAACUUGGGAACUCCAUAGAUUCCAUCACUACUCUAUAUAGGACCCAUACCUCAUCA
This 5233-nucleotide long non-coding RNA is filed under the name Capsella rubella. Its description in RNAcentral is "long non-coding RNA (CRUB_LNC001710)". The record is from RNAcentral. Lineage: Eukaryota; Viridiplantae; Streptophyta; Magnoliopsida; Brassicales; Brassicaceae.